Molecule: ribosomal RNA, 455 nt
Filed under: uncultured bacterium
Lineage: Bacteria
Description: bacterial SSU rRNA
Rfam family: Bacterial small subunit ribosomal RNA
Source: RNAcentral
UACGGAAGGCAGCAGUGGGGAAUAUUGCACAAUGGGCGAAAGCCUGAUGCAGCUAUGCCGCGUGUAUGAAGAAGGCCUUAGGGUUGUAAAGUACUUUCAUCGGGGAGGAAAAAACAAAACUAAUAAUUUUAUUUCUUGACGUUACCCGAAAAAGAAGCACCGGCUAACUCCGUGCCAGCAGCCGCGGUAAUACGGAGGGUGCUAGCGUUAAUCAGAAUUACUGGGCGUAAAGAGCACGUAGGUGGUUUUUUAAGUCAGAUGUGAAAUCCCUGGGCUUAACCUAGGAACUGCAUUUUGAAACUGAAAUACUAGAGUAUCGUAGAGGGAGGUAGAAUUCUAGGUGUAGCGGUGAAAUGCGUAGAUAUCUGGAGGAAUACCUGUGGCGAAAGCGGCCUCCUAAACGAAUACUGACACUGAGGUGCGAAAGCGUGGGGAGCAAAACAGGGAUUAGGAUA